RNAcentral lists this ribosomal RNA (141 nucleotides) under uncultured bacterium. RNAcentral describes it as "partial 16S rRNA". It matches the Rfam family "Bacterial small subunit ribosomal RNA", at positions 355 to 511 of the family's 1533-position model. The record is from RNAcentral.
UGGGGGAUUUUCCGCAAUGGGCGAAAGCUUGACGGAGCAAUGCCGCGUGGAGGUGGAAGGCCUACGGGUCGUCAACUUCUUUUCUCGGAGAAGAAACAAUGACGGUAUCUGAGGAAUAAGCAUCGGCUAACUCUGCGCCAG